CCACGGGAGACAGCCCAGAGGGGUGGUGUGUUUUGAGAUAGUUCUCGCUGGUUCUUACUAGAAUAGUCGCGGUGUCUCAGUUGUCACACACGCCAGUUACGCGUAGAAAAAUGGCAACCUCCAGCUUUCCGUUCAUGGAAUCUAUAGCUCCGAAAGUGGAGAGUAACGGAGUGUCGACUGUAAUUGGAAGGGCUGUAAACUUUAUGGAGUUUCUAAUGCAAGGUUAUGAAGUUACUCCGAGUUACACGGACAUUGCCCAUCCUUGGUGUAAACACAUUCAACAUCGUGGGCCUUAUCAGCAAUUGCAGUCAUCAAUCUACUUAUAAUUGCUUUACAAUACAAUCCAUUUGGCAUGUAUUCUUUUCUGUUUCAUCGGAGCAUCUUCUCUGAACUGGGAUUACGGUUCUGACAGGUUGCCGGACAGGGAUCACCGCAUCCCCAAGUUGCGUUUGGUUGGCAACGACGUUGAGCAUCUGUCAAAAUCAUUGAAGUAUUAUAAUUUGCCUGAUUAUAGAGACUAGCAUUCAAUGGCAGUUUAAAUUCUUGGAAUUUGAUUGUUCAUAAAUUGUAAUUAUGAUGAAAAAUAAUAAUGAUGCCAACUGAGCAAUUUUUCUUUCUUA
Molecule: RNA transcript, 620 nt
Organism: Diachasma alloeum
Lineage: Eukaryota; Metazoa; Arthropoda; Insecta; Hymenoptera; Braconidae
Exons: 2
Source: RefSeq, a predicted model, not a curated record